This 1022-nucleotide ribosomal RNA is filed under the name uncultured marine bacterium. RNAcentral's name for it is "bacterial SSU rRNA". It matches the Rfam family "Bacterial small subunit ribosomal RNA", at positions 83 to 1140 of the family's 1533-position model. The record is from RNAcentral.
UAGCAAUACUUAGUGGCAGACGGGUGAGUAACAUGUAGGUAUCUGCCCUAUGGCCUGGAAUAACACGAGGAAACUUGUGCUAAUACCGGAUAAGUCUUUACGGAGAAAGCUUUAUGCACCAUUGGAUGAGCCUGCACUUGAUUCGUUUGUUGGUAGGGUAAUGGCCUACCAAGACUUUGAUCAAUAGCUGAUUUGAGAGGAUGAUCAGCCACAUUGGGACUGAGACACGGCCCAAACUCCUACGGGAGGCAGCAGUGGGGAAUCUUGCACAAUGGAGGAAACUCUGAUGCAGCGAUGCCGCGUGAGUGAAGAAGGCCCUUGGGUUGUAAAGCUCUUUCGUCGGGGAAGAAAAUGACUGUACCCGAAUAAGAAGGUCCGGCUAACUUCGUGCCAGCAGCCGCGGUAAUACGAAGGGACCUAGCGUAGUUCGGAAUUACUGGGCUUAAAGAGUUCGUAGGUGGUUGAAAAAGUUGGUGGUGAAAUCCCAGAGCUUAACUCUGGAACUGCCAUCAAAACUUUUCAGCUAGAGUUUGAUAGAGGAAAGCAGAAUUUCUAGUGUAGAGGUGAGAUUCGUAGAUAUUAGAAAGAAUACCAAUUGCGAAGGCAGCUCUCUGGAUCAUUACUGACACUGAGGAACGAAAGCAUGGGUAGCGAAGAGGAUUAGAUACCCUCGUAGUCCAUGCCGUAAACGAUGUGUGUUAGACGUUGGAAAUUUAUUUUCAGUGUCGCAGCGAAAGCGAUAAACACACCGCCUGGGGAGUACGACCGCAAGGUUAAAACUCAAAUGAAUUGACGGGGACCCGCACAAGUAGUGGAGCAUGUGGUUUAAUUCGAAGAUACGCGCAGAACCUUACCAACACUUGACAUGUUCGUCGCGACUUUAAGAGAUUAAAGUUUUCGGUUCGGCCGGACGAAACACAGGUGCUGCAUGGCUGUCGUCAGCUCGUGUCGUGAGAUGUUGGGUUAAGUCCCGCAACGAGCGCAACCCUCACUUUUAGUUGCCAUCAUUAAGUUGGGCACUC